RNAcentral lists this ribosomal RNA (494 nucleotides) under uncultured Flavobacteriaceae bacterium. Its description in RNAcentral is "partial 16S ribosomal RNA". Lineage: Bacteria; Pseudomonadati; Bacteroidota; Flavobacteriia; Flavobacteriales; Flavobacteriaceae. The record is from RNAcentral.
CACGGAGUUAGCCGAUCCUUAUUCUUACGGUACCGUCAAUCUGCCACACGUGGCAGGGUUUCUUCCCGUACAAAAGCAGUUUACACACCAUAGAUGCGUCAUCCUGCACGCGGCAUGGCUGGUUCAGGCUUGCGCCCAUUGACCAAUAUUCCUCACUGCUGCCUCCCGUAGGAGUCUGGUCCGUGUCUCAGUACCAGUGUGGGGGAUCUCCCUCUCAGGACCCCUACCCAUCAUUGUCUUGGUGUGCCGUUACCACACCAACUAACUAAUGGGACGCAUGCUCAUCUUACACCGUUGGAACUUUAAUAUGUCGGGGAUGUCCCCAUCAUAUACUAUAAGGUAUUAAUCCAAAUUUCUCUGGGCUAUCCCUUAGUGUAAGGCAGAUUGCAUACGCGUUACGCACCCGUGCGCCGGUCUCUAAAUCCGAAGACUUAUACCCCUCGACUUGCAUGUGUUAGGCCUGCCGCUAGCGUUCAUCCUGAGCCAGGAUCAAA